Molecule: non-coding RNA, 30 nt
Filed under: Rattus norvegicus (Norway rat)
Lineage: Eukaryota; Metazoa; Chordata; Mammalia; Rodentia; Muridae
Source: RNAcentral
UAUUUAUUUCAUGGGUGCCAUUUCUCUGUC